CCUUGGAGCAAUUGUAAAGUUGUCUCUGUGCGAUCAAUAGGUCACGAGUUCCCGCCGUGGAAGCAGUAAUGCUUACAUUAGGGUAAGUUGUCUACAUCACAACUCCUUGGGGUGCGGCCUUCCCCAGACCCUGCGUGAAUCGGCCGGGCUGCCCUUUUCUACGGUAGUUGUUGAAGAAUAACAAAAUAUGACAAAGUGUGCUACACAAAACUAAAAUAUGAUCAAUUUGAUUACAGGGAACUAUUGGAAAAUGGGUGAGAUGUGCAAGUUUGCAAUACCAAAAGACAGUCAUGAGUAGCAUACCAUAUCAUGCAAACCUCAGUGCUAAAGGUUACAGAUCUCUUAUAUACAGGUUGAGUAAGAAUACCAGUGGCGGACCCAAGAUUUUGUGCAAGCGGGUUCAAUCGUAGAAGUACAUAACUUUAGUCGUAAAAUUGUAGUUGUCAAGUGGGUUCAAAUAAAAUAUUUAAACAAAAUUUACGCAGCUUUAAUCCUAAUUUAUACAUAUACACUGUAUUAAUUUUUGACGUGCGUCCGCCACUGAAGAUAGUUGAACCCGCUUGCCGCCACGUGCGUCCGCCACCGAAGAAUACUGUGUUUGCAAGAUGGGAAUAACUACCAACACAAAUAGUUGAAGAUUAUUAUCUCUGUGAAAUAAAAUAGUUGCUUUUCUAUGUUUUUUGAAUUAAGCGGUGGAGAUCAUGACAAGGUUGUUACCUUCCUAUCAACUCAAGCAUGGAUAAAAUCUCUUAACUACUCCAUUGUUGAUGAUUGGCGACCGUGGAUCGUUGACAAUCAAGUUGCCGGGUUAGUUCUUGAUCAAAGACAUUGUACACUAAUCAUAAACUCUAGCAGUGUAUAGAACUUAAACUCUUUUUUUUUCUUUCUUUUGAACAAUCUCAGUUACACGAGAAGUUACUCAAAUCGGAUGACAUUUGUUACAGUGAAGGCAAGAGAAUCUCCUACUGAACUAGUCUCUCAAUCUAUCUCUUUCACUUUCUUUUCUCGCUUAAGUUUGCAGAUAAAAAAUUGUGAAAUUGAUGUUUAAAUUGUAUUAUUUUGUUAUAGGGGGCAGGCCAUACUGCACCAGAGUACAAGCCUCGUGAAUGUCUGGCCAUGCUCAAGAGGUGGAUGUCUUACAAGCCCUUGUAAUCAACAAAUGUAUCAUACUUUGUAAUCACUGUCGAGAUUCCAUUGGCACAGUUCAAACAUUCAUUUCUUAUUUCAAGGGGAAAGGGUUUUAAUUUUAAUAGAAUAAAAUCAAAGUCAAGGUUCAGUUGUUAGUAGUAUAAAUAUAUAUAUUAUGAAAAUGUGUCAAUAAAAUGAUAUGGCCUGAAGCUAAGGUGUCUGCCUCUCUUCUUCAGCUAGAAUUAUAUGAACCAUAUCUAAGGAUUUCUAUUCCACUAUUUCAGCAUUAUACUUGAAUUUUCACAGGAUUAUAUCGAUCCCUUAAUUGCUGCCAAUGAGUCAAAGGACUCAAGAACAGUAAGAUGGAAACUCUUUCAACUAAUGAAACUUAGGGCGUCCAAUUCGUGGUCUCAAAUAACGACUUCAUCCUAAUGUAACUUUUAAGUUUUAAUAUGCUGAGUGUGUAAAAAGAUAUUUAGAACAAUCAGACUCACUGUAAUUGCCGAACCUAGUACUUUUUUUGUAACUUCUCAUCGUGUUUAAAGAGUUACUAAUCCUAAAGCUUUUUAAGAAAAUAUAUCUGCAAUACAUUGUCCUCUUGACAGUCUCUUCAAAUAAAGAAUAUGCGUCAUCAUUUAUUCAUCACUGUAAAGAAUAUUUUAUACUAUCAGGUCACCUAACAUAUAUCUAUAGGUAAAUUUAUUUGAGAUGUGAGAUUUGUAAUCUUGAAAAUAAGAUACACUACCUGCUACAACAGGUAAAAGUAACAUGACGGUGUAAAUAUUAUUUACACCGAUGGAGCAUAUUAUUACUUAAAUCAUUAAAUUAUAGACUGAAAUUUGAAACUGGGAAAGUGAGCAGGGACGGCUCAAGUAUAUGCGGGGCGGGGCCUAAAGCCAAAGUUUAAUAUGAGGCCUAAAUUUUUAAAAGAAAGUUAUACGAUAUGUUUUUAUUUAAAGUCUAUUUUUCUAGCUUUUUUAAAUACAAAAUUGUUAAUAAUCCUUUUUAUAAUCGAUUUUCCCUAAUAAUUCAUUUUCAAUUGAUAAUAUAGUCAACUCAUUUAAUCUUUCUUGAGAUAUUGUUAAUUUUAGAUAAGAUUUUAUAGAGCAAUAGAAGUAUAGAACUAUUUGUCACACCUCCUUUUUCCCGAGGGGAUAGGGGAUAAGGGAGUUUUUCCAAUUAAAGUGACAUUAAUCGAAAUGGGAUUAUUUAUUUAUCAGAGUCGCCACUUGGAAUAAUUUAUGGUGUCCCAAGUCACCGGUUUAUUUUAAAUCCCAAAUCAAGGAAAUUUGACUCUAUUUAUGGUCCGCGAACACAGAAGACCGAGUAAGGAAUUCUGUUAACCCGGGAGAAGGUGUGAGGCACUCCCGAAUUCCGUGAUUUUAGCACGGUCGCCUAACUAGUAAUAAUUGGCCAAAUUAUCUAAUUUAUACAUAUUUGAAACCUUUUGUGCAUUACCGCUUUUAUAUCGCUUUUAAUAUUUAUGAAAUUUAUUUCUGGAACAAGUCACGUUGUCGUACACUUGUCGUUUUGAUACACAUUGCAAACCGCGCCACAUGAAAUGCACCCGUGAUUUAUAACAUGUUUAUUUUAUUAUUAUUGUUUGAAGUUGAGGUCGAGUCACUUGAAACACACACUCGAAUUGGGGUUAUGCAUCGUGACCAUGCUACGGGAACCGUACCCAUGAUCACGAUAAUUUAUUAAACGCACCUAAAGCAAGCUAAGAUGUUCUAGAGUUGUUCAUUUCCUAAACUAAUUUGAGAUUCAAAUAUGAGGAUCAUGAGUUAUGGAAAUUUGUUGGGGAAGAGGUGACCUCGAUCAUAGCCAAAGAAUUCAUGAGAUCAAUUAUACAACUAAGUUGUUAGAAAUAUUUACAACAAUGAAUUGCUAAUAGUCUGCCUCUUAGGACUAUUUUUCCAAUCACUAGACUAGUGGUGAAUUAAAUGAAGGGAUUAAUGAGUUAAGGAAUAACUGAAGCAGCAACAAGAUUACGGAGUUAUCAAGCGAUUACCUAUUAUAUAAUAGGGCCAGAUUAUAACUCUUAUUAUAUUGGGUUGUAUAAGAACAAAUCAUUCGGCCUACCAUAUUGUCCAUUUUAGUUUUUGAGAACUAACUUCUACAGUCCAUUAUUUAUCAGUUUAAAUCAACAGAAAGCCCACAACUCUUUGUGCUUUCAUAGUUAUCUUCCCAGCAUGUUAUUUCACAAAUCAAGGCCAAACAAUAAUGGAAACUAAUUCAUCUAAAUCACCGUCACAGACCCAAAGCAACUCAAACAAAUUAUUUCAAGGAAAUUGAUUAAUCAAUCAAGAUAAAAAAAAUGUGCUGACAUAGAACAAAUGACAAAAUGGCAAGCAUUAUAAGAACAAAAUAAAGUCGCAAAUAAAGAAACGGACCUUAGAUAUAUUUUGCCAAAUAAAAUCUGAAAAUGCUUAACACCGAAAAACUUAGACAGCGACAACCUCGACGGAACCGCGAAUCUACCCGGAAACCUCGGCCUACGACCUUCGACGACCUCGAAACUCGUCGAAAAACUCGAAUCAAAUGAACCCAACUCGAAAUUGUGUAACGUGCGAGAAGAAGGAUGGAAAAAUAAACACACUGUUUUCGUUUCGAGGUAAUGAGAUUUUGUAGCUUUUUCCCUCAAUUAUUCCCUCUGUUUUUGUAACUUUCCCCCAUUCCUACCCGUUGCUGCUUUCCAAUUCCCUUUCCCCUUCCUUUGUUUCCUUAAUCUCCCCUCCGUUCCUUUUUUUUUCACUCUUUGCCCCUUUUUUUUGUGCAGGUUGCGGCUGCUUCCUUUCUGUUUUGGAAUUAGGAGAAUAGUUAGGUUUUAUUUGGGGUGGGGAAUUAAU
RNAcentral lists this long non-coding RNA (3977 nucleotides) under Nicotiana tabacum (common tobacco). RNAcentral describes it as "long non-coding RNA (NTAB_LNC006457)". The record is from RNAcentral. Lineage: Eukaryota; Viridiplantae; Streptophyta; Magnoliopsida; Solanales; Solanaceae.